GGAAUAUUGGUCAAUGGGCGCAAGCCUGAACCAGCGACGCCGCGUGCGGGAUGAAGGGGCUUUGCCUCGUAAACCGCUGUCGGAUGGGACGAAAGAUAGCUUUGAGCUAUUGGGACGGUACCAUCAAAGGAAGGAUCGGCUAACUACGUGCCAGCAGCCGCGGUAAUACGUAGGAUCCGAGCGUUGUCCGGAGUUACUGGGUGUAAAGGGUGCGUAGGCUGUUCUGUGCGUCAGAGGUGAAAUCCACGGGCUUAACUCGUGGGGUGCCUUUGAUACGGCAGGGCUUGAGUACGAGAGAGGUGCGUGGAAUUCCUGGUGUAGCAGUGAAAUGCGUAGAUAUCAGGAGGAACACCGGUGGCGAAGGCGGCGCACUGGCUCGUAACUGACGCUGAGGCACGAAAGCGUGGGGAUCAAACAGGAUUAGAUACCCUGGUAGUCCACGCCUUAAACGAUGCAUGCUUGGUGUUGGUCUCGCAAGAGAUCAGUGCCGUAGUUAACAUGAUAAGCAUGCCACCUGGGGAGUACGAUCGCAAGGUUGAAACUCAAAUGAAUUGACGGA
This 559-nucleotide ribosomal RNA is filed under the name uncultured bacterium. Its description in RNAcentral is "bacterial SSU rRNA". It matches the Rfam family "Bacterial small subunit ribosomal RNA", at positions 358 to 917 of the family's 1533-position model. The record is from RNAcentral.